CAGCCGUAAACUAUGCUCGCUAGGUGUCAGGCAUGGCGCGACCGUGUCUGGUGCCGCAGGGAAGCCGUGAAGCGAGCCACCUGGGAAGUACGGCCGCAAGGCUGAAACUUAAAGGAAUUGGCGGGGGAGGCACAACAACGGGUGGAGCCUGCGGGUUUAAUUUGGACUCAACGCCGGACAACUCACCGGGAACGGACAGCAAUAUGUAGGCCAGGCUGAAGACCUUGCCUGAAUCGCUGAGAGGAGGUGCAUGGC
RNAcentral lists this ribosomal RNA (255 nucleotides) under uncultured archaeon. Its description in RNAcentral is "partial 16S ribosomal RNA". It matches the Rfam family "Archaeal small subunit ribosomal RNA", at positions 748 to 998 of the family's 1478-position model. The record is from RNAcentral.